Heterocephalus glaber (naked mole-rat) is the source of this 4863-nucleotide non-coding RNA. NCBI's taxonomy places the organism in Eukaryota, Metazoa, Chordata, Mammalia, Rodentia, Bathyergidae. The record is from RefSeq and is a predicted model, not a curated record.
UGCAGGUGACGUGACCAGCUCCACCUUAGGCACAGGGGCCACUCGGGAGAAUGUCUCUCCAUAGGCAGCCUGGUCGGGCCUCCUGCACUGUGAAGCCCCUGAGAUACCUGGGGUGAGAGCCACUGGUGCCCAGGAGAUGAGGAGACAACACAGUGCACAGGGCCUCAGUGCCCAGCAGCUGGGCCGAGCUGGGCAUGGACACCUUGCUGCCUAAGCUAGUGUCAUCCGUUGGAUUAUCCUGUGCACAUUUCAAAAAGAAAGCCACCGGCUGAGUGUGAUGGUCCACGCCUGUGACUCCAGCACUCUGCAAGGCUGAGGCAGAAAGAUCUAAAGUUCAAGCCCUGAUUGAACAACUCAGUGAGACCCUGUCUCAGGGCAAAAAAUUAAAAAAUGCCUGUGCCACAGAAAAAGAGACAAAAAGAAAACAGCAAAAGAAAAAGGGAGACAAGGGACAACCCAUAUCAUUCACAGGGCAUUAUCUCUCCACACUGGCACAGCCUGGUGGGAUGGGUAACCAGAUCUAGCCCCCCCCGUGUCUCUCAAUCUCUUUCUCUCUGUCUCUGUCUCUCUCUCUCUUGAUUUCUCUCCUCUCUCCUCUCUCUCUCUCUCUCUCUCUCUCUCCCAAAUCCUAGGACAGAAGGACACAAAGUCAAAAGCAGUUGCUCUCACCUAACCCCUCUGUGCUGUCCUGAUGCAAGCCCCUCCCUGAGCUCCUUGGUUUCCCACCGAGUUCCUUUUUAGGGGCUAAACUGAGUGUCAUAAACAACAGAAAUUUUAUUGUUGCACAGUCCUGGGGUCCAGGAGUCUGUAAUCAAGGUGACCCGAGGCCUCUUCUUUGGUUGCGGAUGGCCAUCUUCAUGUCCUUGUGCUGUCAUUCUUCACUGAGGAGCCUGCCUCCAAAUUGCCCCUUUUUAUAAGACGCCAGUCAUUUGGACUAGCACCCACCCUAAUGACCUCAUCUUGAUGAAUUAUAUCUUCAACAACUGCAUUUCCAAAUAAGGUCAAUCCUGAGAUACUGGAGGUUAAGGGUUCAACAUACAGCCUUUGGGGGUUCCAUUCAAUUCCUAAUACUUUCUUUUCCUAGCCAGUUCCCUGCCACCCUGUCAGCUCUGGGGACUUCCUUAAACCUUUCUCAAUGCAUUCUCUUUGUUUCUCGGAACUUCUCCAAAGUCUGUUUGUGUGGCCAGCAAUCCAAGAACUUUGACCCACAGGCCUACCAGUGGCAGAGGUGUGCCCUGCCCUUGACACGUCUCUGAUCCUCUGGGCACUGUGACAGGUCAGAUGCCAUCUCAGCCUGCAAGGCUUCCUUGCAGGAGUCAGGGGGAGUUGCCAGGCCAGUGUGGCUCCGAGGCCAUACCUCAGAGGGGGCUGCCUAGGGACCUGGAUGCAGGCUGCUGGGGUGCAAAUACCCCCAGAAGGUAAGGAGUCUGGCAGAGCACUGAUGGUCAGCCACAGUCUUCCAAAUUCUGAGCCUGGGGCCUCAUUUUCUACAACAAAAUCUCCCAAGUGUGCCUUUCCGAUUGGACCUGUGGGCCAGCCUGGCUGGGAGGGGCCGGACUGCUCUGCUGGGCCUUGGUAACCAGAGCAGCUCCAGUAGCCUCUGUCUCCAGGUCCUGCACUCUGUCCUGACCCCAGCAGGGGCAAAGCCCACGGUGUCUUCUCCUCCCCUCCCCAGCCUUGCUGAGUGAGAGAUGCAGACCAUUCUGAGUUGUGGGACCCAUUAAUAACAGCAGCCAAAUGUAUUACACCAAGCACUUUACAUGUGCUGUCUCACACAGCCUUCACACCAACCAUACGGCACAUGUGCAUUAUAACUGCAUCCUUUAGAUGUGCCAAUGAGUGUUCAGUUACUAACUCAAGGUCAGGUUGCUAGGGAAGAGCAGGAGCCGGAUGCAUCUCAUGUGCAGUCACCUCUGGCACCCUCUUCCUGGCCAACACCCUACCUCUGGGCUGGACGAUGGAGUAGCUCAGAGUGGGUUCGGGUGACGACAGACUUCACAGACGUUCCUUGUACUUUGGGUUACUUCCAAAGUAGGUGUGAAGUUGAGGAAUGCAAUUUUGAUGCAGAUAAGUAGAUAUACAACCCAUCCCUUCCCCUGAAUUUCAUGAAGGACCCCCAAAAUCCUGGGGUUUGGGGAGCCCAGGUGUAAAGAGCUGUUAGCUGUCUAGAGACACAUUGAAAUGUGGGCUGACUACUUGAAUAUCCUCAGCCACAUCAGCACCCAGAAAUAACUUGAAAUGCCUUAUAAAGCAAUAAUUCUGUGAUGGUGAUUCACAUCACCAAACCUCAUGCAAUGUGGGGGUUCCAGGCCUUGAAUUCUUGUGGUGUCAAUCCUAGGGGAGUUUCCUCUUUUGGCACCUGUGUUGUGUAGGGCCCAGAGUUUCCUGUCCUAUCCACUUGAGGACUUUCUGUGCACAGGGCUGGACUUUCUGUGACCCUGUCCCUCAGGCCUGUGGCUGGGGCUAGGGCCCAUUGACAGAAGCUCUGUGAAUGAGGGUGGCCAUUCACCAGUGGCAGCGUCACGUGUCCCUCUGCAGUUGAGGAACUCCUGGAAAGGAAGCCUAGCUUCUGAGUACGUCAGAAAGCCCCUGUGAUGGUUGGUUUGUAUCCAUUUGACUGGGCUAUGGGAUGCCCAGAUAGCUGGUCAGACAUUAUUUCUUGGUGCGUUUACAGGGGUAGGUCCAGAAGCAAUCAGCAUUGAAGCAGAUAGAUGAGUGCAGAAGAUUCACCUUACUAACAUAGCCUGGAUGAUCAUCAUCUUUCCCUCCUGCUGGCCUUGCUUCUGUAAAGGACGGAGGAAGAAUCGUGUCUUGAACAUUUUGGCAGCUCUCGAAACACCUGCAGAGACUCCUGCUAUGAAAGAAUACUGUCGAGUGGGUGAGCUGUGUAGUCCCCAAAGCACUUUACAGACACACUCUGUUGAUGAAAUGCCAGAUUCGCCCUGUGAACAGAAAUGGAAGAAGGCUUCCUGUCCAUGGGAGUCCGAGUCAACCAAGGAGGAGCUCCAGAUGGCUCACCCACGAGCAGGUCUUCUUGGAUGGUUCCGGGAGGAUUAAUUAGUCACCGCCACAAGUAUGAAGGCCAAAUCAAGAGGCAGUAUGGCAGAGAGGGAGGAUGAGAGCGGCUUGUGUGUGACACAGAUGGUGUCUCAUCCACGAUCUCUGCUCAGAAACACCGACAUGGGGAGGAGCCAGGUGUAUGCAACACAUCAGCUCAAAGACUCACAGUCCUGACUGCACAUGGGAGUCACUCGGAGAGCUUUCAGAAACACUAAUGCCUGGGCCCUCCCCUGGAGAUUCUAAAAAUCCCUGAGAAAUGGUCUCAUGGCCGGGGACGCCUGUCUAGCUACUUCUGAAGCCCACUCCGCCACACCCUGGGGGCCAAUAUGCUGGCCAAGGAAAACACGCCCGUGGACCAAAGCAAGGCUGCAGCUCAUUAAAGGCUGCUUACGCAACUACUCGGAUAAGAGUCCUGAGCUUGUGGUGCUGCUGGUGGGGAGUGUGGUAUGGAUCAGGCCCUCCAGGCAUGAGUAUUUUGUCCAGCAGUAGGAAAGUGCCUAAUACAAGAGCCCUCACCGAGAACCUAGCUACCACUUGUACCCUGAUCUCGAACUUCCAGCCUCCAGAAUUUCAAGACAUAAAGGCCUGUUGUUUGAGCCAUGCAAUCCAUCCCAUAUUUGUGAUAGCAGCCCAAACUGACUAAGACAUAAGGGUGAAAAUCUAAGGAAAGAGAAAGGAACAUUUCCAUAGGCUUUGUGAGUUCUCUGAAGCCCUUAUAUCGAUUCCUUUCACACAUGCGGAAUCUUGGUAUUCUCAAAAUGAAUGCUUCAGAGUCUCAGCUCUUGGAGAAUGAUGUGAAAGUGACACAGCCUGCGGUGACUAAUGACUCACCAGCUGAAGUGGUGUCCCUGAGGCUGGUGGGCAGCACUGAGUCAUCAAGAGUUGAGUGGGGUAAGUAGGGUUCUCGAAGUCCCCGCCCAGUGUGGCCAUUUGGUUCUCAGCUAUUACUUGGUUUCAUUUCGUCCUCACAUCCGCCCUCCGGGAUGGAAGCAGGGUGGUGUCCCUGGUGUUCACAGCUAUGCCACAGGUUCUCCUGCCUCUCCAGCAGGAGGAUCGUGCUUCCCUGCUCCCACUGACAUUGGGCUUCUCCAGCUAACUUGCUCUGGCCAACGAAGUGUGAGUGAAAGUGACCCAGUUUGUGUGCGGGGAAAUAUUUCAACUCUGUCUUCCGCUGCAGUGAUUUUGGAAGCUCGUGUUGUUAUAGAAGAGCUUUAAAACUUCCGGGAAGGCUGAACCAACUCGUGGAAAUCAGAAUCUUGGAGAAUAACCUGCACCUGGAGUAGAAAUUUACCAUGCAUGAGUGAUAAACUUUAGUUGUCUUAAGCAACUGAGAUGCUUAAUAAUAAUACAACUGCUGCUGUCUGACACAAGCAGAUAUUACUACCCUGAUUUUAAAGAUCAGGAAACUUUGUAAGGGAUUUGUGAAGGUAAAACUUUUAAAUCCAAAGUUAUUUAAGGCUUUUCUAUCUCUUUCCCAUAACUUAUGCUUCUUUCUCUUCCUUUUCUUCUUCUUUUUCCUUCUACCUCUAAACAGCACCCAAACUUCACCCAGAACCCCAUCUCCUGCUGACGUUGGUCCCCAUGCUGCUGGGACAAGGUCCCCAAAGAUGGAGAUUGUGCCAUGAAGAGUGGAGUAUACAGCAGAUGCUCAGUAGAAUUUCUUUAAUCAGAUUGCUCCCAACAGUGUCAUGCUUGCAUUACUUUUUUAUUUGGAGGUACAAAACAGCCUAUUAUGUAAUGAUUUGUCUUAAUUGGGAAAUCAAACAUUUUGAGAAAAAUAAAAUCUUUAUUAUAUUUAAAAAU